Molecule: unclassified non-coding RNA, 376 nt
Filed under: soil metagenome
Description: partial contains 5.8S ribosomal RNA, internal transcribed spacer 2, and large subunit ribosomal RNA
Rfam family: 5.8S ribosomal RNA (bases 1-120)
Source: RNAcentral
GAUGAAGAACGUAGCGAAAUGCGAUAAGUAAUGUGAAUUGCAGAAUUCAGUGAAUCAUCGAAUCUUUGAACGCAUCUUGCGCUCCUUGGUAUUCUGAGGAGCAUGCCUGUUUGAGUGUCAUUAAAUUCUCAACUACACUGACUUUGAAUUGGUGUGGCUUGGAUUUGGGGGGAAAAUUGUUGUGGGCUUUUUGUAUAGUCUGCUCCCCUGAAAUUGAUUAGCGGUACCUUUGUGGAACUGUCUACAGGUGUGAUAAUUAUCUACAUCUUAGACAUCUGCUGGAAUGCUGCUUUCUAAACCUUACUUGUAUUGACAAUCUUGACCUCAAAUCAGGUAGCACUACCCGCUGAACUUAAGCAUAUCAAUAAGCGGAGGA